This is a long non-coding RNA of Branchiostoma floridae (Florida lancelet), 151 nucleotides long. RefSeq lists it as uncharacterized. Lineage: Eukaryota; Metazoa; Chordata; Leptocardii; Amphioxiformes; Branchiostomatidae. The transcript has 3 exons. The record is from RefSeq and is a predicted model, not a curated record.
GUCAACUGUACCGAUGUCGACGAAUGUGCAGAUGGCACAGACAACUGCCACGCCCAGGAAACCUGUACCAACACGGACGGCUCUUUUACAUGUGAUUGCACUGAAGGGUACAGUGGAAAUGGAGUCAACUGUACUGAUGUCGACGAAUGUG